UACAGAGGUCUCAAGCGUUGUUCGGAAUCACUGGGCGUAAAGGGUGCGUAGGCGGCACGGUAAGUCAGAGGGGAAAUCCCGGAGCUCAACUUCGGAAUUGCCUCCGAUACUGCCGUGCUUGAGGACUGGAGAGGAGAUUGGAAUUCACAGUGGAGCAGUGAAAUGCGUAGAUAUUGUGAGGAACACUAGUGGCGAAGGCGAAUCUCUGGACAGUUCCUGACGCUGAGGCACGAAGGCCAGGGGAGCAAACGGG
RNAcentral lists this ribosomal RNA (253 nucleotides) under uncultured bacterium. Its description in RNAcentral is "partial 16S ribosomal RNA". It matches the Rfam family "Bacterial small subunit ribosomal RNA", at positions 524 to 776 of the family's 1533-position model. The record is from RNAcentral.